GGUGCUUUGGUGAUGUGGAUCUGCCCUGGGGCAGGAAAGGGGAAGCGGAGGCCAGCGUGGUGGCUCAAACCUGUAAUCUCAGCACUUUGGGAGGCAGAGCCAUGUGGAUCACCUGAGGUCAUGAAGUGUGGAACUGAAGUGGCAUUGGGAAGGAGGUGACCCUGAGGCAAGAUGCUCUAAGCCCUCUGUCAUGACUGCAUAAGGGCUGCUGGAGGGCGCCUUGGCUGUGCCGCAGUGUUAGUGCUGGGAAAGCGCCCACUGUUUAGCCAGCUAGGAAAGGAGACGUCCAAAAUGGCCAAGACAUCUUCUUCUUGGGGGAGUUGGGAGAAAACUCCGCUUCUCUAAGCUCUUGUGGUAGGCCUGACGGCUAUCAGGAAAACUCACGGACAUCCGGGGGGCUUAAUUGUCUCUAUGUGAUGCUGGGCUUCAGUGGUCACAUCCCAUGUCUACUUUCAUGUUCUGCUCCUGUACCUGGUUCCUCUUUUUCUUAGAAGAUAAGAAUUAGUAAUAGUUACAUAAAUCUUAAUGCCCUUGAUAUUUUUGACAAGUAUGCAAAAAGUGCUGAUGCAUUAAGUUUUCUCCUCGCCUUGGUUACUUGAAAGUCCCAGGCCCCAUCUCCAAGACAUGUGAUUUACUUGAUCCUAUCACUGACCACCAAUGCCUCGCCCUAGCCACCCUGCUCCCUGCUUUGUACUCAAUAAAAUCAGGGCGUCCAGGCACUUGGGGCCACUGCCAGACUGCACUUUGGUUGGCAGUGGACCCUUGGGCCCAAAUUCUGUUUUCUCUUUC
Molecule: long non-coding RNA, 789 nt
Organism: Cebus imitator (Panamanian white-faced capuchin)
Lineage: Eukaryota; Metazoa; Chordata; Mammalia; Primates; Cebidae
Exons: 2
Source: RefSeq, a predicted model, not a curated record